GCCGAAGUGGUGGAAUUUGGUAGACACGCCAUCUUGAGGGGGUGGUGGGUAUCCCCCGUGCGGGUUCAAAUCCCGCCUUCGGCACCA
RNAcentral lists this transfer RNA (87 nucleotides) under Deltaproteobacteria bacterium RBG_13_52_11. Its description in RNAcentral is "tRNA-Leu". It matches the Rfam family "tRNA". From Rfam's summary of the family: Transfer RNA (tRNA) molecules are approximately 80 nucleotides in length. Their secondary structure includes four short double-helical elements and three loops (D, anti-codon, and T loops). The record is from RNAcentral. Lineage: Bacteria; Deltaproteobacteria.